CAUAUUACUCCUGCGUUAAAUUCUUCGGCUUAACCGGGGGCAUGCCUGGGAAACGGUACCACUUGAGGAUGCAAAGGGUCUGUGGAACUCAGAUUGAAUCGGUGAAAUGCGUUGAUAUUAUAGGAAACACCGAAAGCAAAGGCAGCAUACUGGGGCACUCCUGACACUGAAACACAAAAGCGUGGGUAGCAAAUGGGAUUAAAUACCCCAUUAUUCCACCCCCUAAACGAUCUUCUCUAGCUAUUUCGAGUAUCGACCCUCCCAUUGCCGUACCUAACCCGUUAAUAGAACCGCCGGGGUAGUACGGCCGCAAGGCUAAAACUCAAAGGAAUAAACGGGGACUCGCACAAGCAGAGGAUCAUGUGGUUCAAUUCAAUGGUAAACGAAAAACCUUACCAGGGUUAGAAAUGCAGCUGAAGACUAGCAGAAACGUUUGUCGCCGCACGGCAGCUGCACAGGUGCUGCAUGGUCGUCGUCACUUCGUGGUUUGAAUUGUUCCCUUCACUGCGGUAACGAACGCAACCCUCAUUGCCUGUUACGACUGUCACGCCAGACUGCACAGCCUUUUAAACACGAUCCCAGUUAAACCCGACAUUGCGAGC
This 602-nucleotide ribosomal RNA is filed under the name uncultured bacterium. RNAcentral describes it as "bacterial SSU rRNA". It matches the Rfam family "Bacterial small subunit ribosomal RNA", at positions 580 to 1162 of the family's 1533-position model. The record is from RNAcentral.